GAUGAACGCUAGCGGGAGGCCUAACACAUGCAAGCCGAGCGGUAGAGUUUCUUCGGAAACUUGAGAGCGGCGCACGGGUGCGUAGCACGUGUGCAACCUACCUUUAUCUGGGGGAUAGCCUUUCGAAAGGAAGAUUAAUACCCCAUAAUAUAAUGAUUGGCAUCAAUUAUUAUUGAAAACUCCGGUGGAUAGAGAUGGGCACGCGCAAGAUUAGAUAGUUGGUGAGGUAACGGCUCACCAAGUCAAUGAUCUUUAGGGGUCCUGAGAGGGAGAUCCCCCACACUGGUACUGAGACACGGACCAGACUCCUACGGGAGGCAGCAGUGAGGAAUAUUGGACAAUGGGUGGGAGCCUGAUCCAGCCAUCCCGCGUGAAGGAUGACGGUCCUAUGGAUUGUAAACUUCUUUUGUACAGGGAUAAACCUACCCUCGUGAGGGUAGCUGAAGGUACUGUACGAAUAAGCACCGGCUAACUCCGU
This 478-nucleotide ribosomal RNA is filed under the name uncultured bacterium. RNAcentral's name for it is "partial 16S ribosomal RNA". It matches the Rfam family "Bacterial small subunit ribosomal RNA", at positions 28 to 506 of the family's 1533-position model. The record is from RNAcentral.